This 6722-nucleotide long non-coding RNA is filed under the name Homo sapiens (human). RNAcentral describes it as "HSALNT0312199". The record is from RNAcentral. Lineage: Eukaryota; Metazoa; Chordata; Mammalia; Primates; Hominidae.
UUCUCCCACCCUUGUUGGAGCGAAUGCGCGAGUCUGACAGUGAACCUUUUGGGAAAGAGCCAGCAUUGUAACCGUGCUCGGUGACUUCUCUGGCUUUAUAGGGAACAGAUGUGAGGAUAGCAAGGGGCGCACACGUGAAAUGCCUGGCAGGUACCCCUUUGUGGCUCUACUUACUUCUUGCCAUUCCUCUGCCCUCCAAGUGUAGAGGGGACACCGUGGGCCUUGGCAGUCGCGUUCCGACUCCGGUCUGGUGUAUGGGUUGCACUCGGUCUCUCUGGCUAUUUUGUGUGUUCCGAUCUGACAGCCCACAUGCCUCUGCUGUACGCCUCGGCCACAGGACACAGAGCACUAAGAAGACAGAGAACAUUCACAGUCUGGUGAGACAAGUUUGAGAUCUCAUAUUUUCAGCUCAUCCUUGAAAACCUUUCUUCGAUUUGACUGACCUUGAUGGCUCCCUGGAAUCUCACCUACAUUUUAUGGGAAAUUCAACUCUCCAGAGAGAAGAGCUUUCAGAUAGCUGCGGGACUUGCAACUGUGACUUUCAGCUUUCGCUUUUGAAUGAGGCUCCAAAUGUCUCAAUGGUGGCACUAUUUCCAGAUUUGGGAACUUCCUCCCUGACAUUAUGUCCAUGACCCUGCACCCUGCGGGGGGCUCGGAUAUGUUACGUCUGAUUCAAAGACAACCAAAAAGAAGGAAAUAAUGAUUUCACCAAGAAAGGACACAUACCAAGGCAGGAAUAGGUAAGUGGGCUAGGUGGGGCUUUUAUUAAUCUCAAGGAAAACAAACAGCACACAUUUUUGGGAAAAUGCUUUCAUUUUCAAAGGAAUCUGGAUGUGGACUGGAUAGCAGUCGAUUAAGAAAAGGCAGAGUCUGCAUAUGGCCAGAUAUUUACUGGAAUUUACUAGGAAGAGAUGCAAUAAAAGUCUAGAUUCCCCUGGGAAAAGGGAAGCAAAAAAAAUGCACCAUUCUCAGAGGCCUUUCAGUUUAGCUGCAUGGGUGGGAUGGGGAGGAGGGAGGAGGAGAGAAGGCUUAGGAAAGAGAAAAUCAUGGGAAAAGGCCAAUAAAAAAGUAGGAAAGAUUCUGUUUCUGCUGAGCUCUGCCACACCCCACUCCCUUUUUUAUCACAUUACAGUGCAAAUCUCAGAUUAAAAACAGCUUCCUAGAAUGUGUCAGAAUUUUUAAAGUUGUGAAAUAAAUCCAGAUCUACUCUUUACUUCCUUGUGAAGGAAAAAACACACUCUGAAUACAUUUGUUUCUUUAAGAAAUUUUAUAAAGUAACUUAUUUUGAAAAUUUUCCAACUUAUAGAAAGAUUGCAAGAACAUCAUAAAGAUCUCCCUUAUCCCCUCAUCCUGAGUCCCCAAUUGCCAACAUUUCACCACAUUUGCUCCCCCCAUCUCUCUCUCUAUAUGCUAUUAUUAUUUUGUCUUUCCCUGAAAAAUUUGAGAGUAAUUUAGAGACAUAACAUCCCAUCAUCUCUAAAACUCUUUUUUCCUCAAAUCAAGGACACUCUUUUAUGUAAAUACCGUACAACUCUCUAAGUCAGGAUAUCAUCAUUAUUAAUACAACAGCACUAAAUAAUCCUAUGCCUUUCUUUUUAAUGAUUCCCUUCUACCAGUUAGCUCUUUACUUCCAUAUUUCUGGGCUAAUGUAAUAAGGAGUUCAGCACCUGAGUAGCUGAGCUCAUUCAUUCAUUUCAACAUUGUUUAUAGUAUGCCUAGUUUGAGAGAGGCACCCAGUUUGAACUGUGGGUUUCAUUAGGCAGAAGGAAAUUCAGGUAUGGGGCAAUUAAAUAAAUGAUUGGGGAAACAGGUUUUUCACUUAAAAUGUGUUGGCUCUGUCUAUAUUUCUUCCUCUGUCCUAGCUAAGAAAAAGGAAGCAAACACAGUCUGCUUUUUCCCUGUUGUAUUUCCCUCUGUUCAUCUUACCAAGUUCCCAAGCGUAACUGUUUUAUUAUUCACCUGCCACAUGGACUAAGGAAUACAGAGGUAGUUGUGAGAAUGAGGGGUGAUGAGAGGAAGAGGAUGCAAGAACAGGGUUCAAGGUGGUUGACUGUCUUACCAAUGGGAAUGAAUAAGACAGCUUUGCUAAAAGAAGAGUUCAGCUCCUAUAGCUUAAUUUUAGCUCAAUAAAUAGUUUGGAAGACGUUCCAAUGCAUUGAAUAUGCUUUAUUUCAACCAGAGAGUUACGGUGAGAUCACAUUUUAGUAAAUUUUACCAUUUUUCAUAAUUCACUUGUAAGUGCUACAGCAUCUUACCUUCUGCAAGGAACCUCAUCACCAUGAACAGAUGUAAAGUCACCUGACUGGCUCUAAUAAAAUCUAUCAUCCUGACUAUCUAUAUAUCUACUAAAUAAAGAAAAUACCUCAAGUUAUUCCAUUUCUACUAAAAAUGCCAGAGAUAGCACCCAAUAUGUGCUUAAUACUGGUUGCUUUUUUCUUAAAAUCUUCUGAAAACCCCAAAUCUUGCUCUUUUACUUGGUUUGAGACAAUUUUCUUAUAUUCAUUCCUGAUUUUCUUUGCUUAUCCCCUAAGCAAAACUUGUAAAUGGCUCAAUUAGCUUCAGAACAUUUCAAAUAUUAAUAGUUACACUCUGGGAUAACAUAAAAUCCUACAUUGUAGACAUACCCUUUCCACUCAUGUUACAUUUUACCAUUUCAUCAACUAAACAAUGAGAUGAGGGGAUUAUAUCUUGGCUUAAACCACUAGCUUAAAAUUCAGAAAAUCCUAAAUUCAAAUCCUGGUUCAGCCACUUCCCAGCAGUGAGACCUAGAGACCACUACUGAGCAGUGAGAUCAACUAAGCAACUUCUCUGAUGGUGCUGACUUCAUCAUGUAGAGAGGAUUAAGUUAGACAAACGUGGGUGAAUUGUUUAGCAUAAUUCUGAGCACAAAGUAAAUGUUCCAAAAUGUAAGUGGUUGUUAUAAUAAAAAAAAAAUCAAAGUCCUCCCUAUAAUUAUGGGAGGAAACACAUUGUGUGACAAAUUAAGUGGGGAAAAAAAUCUGCUCCUUUGUGGAUAACUGAAGCUAUCAAUUCAUUCACUGUCUGAGAUAUUUCAGAAGAAAAUGGCUUAGGGAGAAUCAUUUGAACUAUUUCUCAUUUUAGUGCAUAGUCAACCUGAGAGUGAGCAUAGUAGAUUAAUCAGUGCUUCUAAAAACAGACCAUCUGUCAGAUUAUAAUUUAAUUCAGGAUGUUGCCCUAAACGGGGGGAAAACACUCUAUCUGGCCACUGAGGAAGAGAACUGAUGGCAAUUAUCAGUCAAUUUGCAGUCAAUGUUGUUGCAUAAGUUUAAAUUUCUUGGGGCCCUCAGUAUAGAGUAAAAAUGUAAAUGAAUAAGAGGUUUUUUUCUUUUUGACACUGUAGACAUUAAGUUUUGCAAAAUUAAAUGACUACAUUUACAGUCAUGGAGGAGAGACAUUGCCUCAACUCGGUUUCUUCUGAUGUGUCUUUGAAACAGAGCCCUGCAAAGCUAAUCUGCUCAACCUUCACCUACUGGGUUCAAUGAAUAUGAAAAGCUGCCUUCCUGAAACUUUUCCUUCAAAGAGGGAAUGAUCUCCUGGAAUUCAAGCUUCUACAAGGUGGCUACCUGGUGUUUUCCACUUUUGCCGUCUCCUAAAAAGCAUCAUUCAAGCCUUGCCCUUUCAACCCACUGAACACAUAAACAUGCUUUCUCCUUAACUGAACUUAUGGCCACGAUGAACUUGAACUCUGAGAUUCACAGAGGAGAGUUUGUUUUAACAGCUGCUUUUACAAUGAAGCCCUGGAGUUACUACUCUCAAGACCCCUGGUUCUGAUAGGCCAUCUUUUCACUGUCCUCUGCAUUUUCUAAUGCCCAGCUGUCAAGGAACACCCACUGAAGUUUUCCAAAACAAAGGCACGAAACACAAGAAAGGCAAGAGAAUGCUAAUCACCAGAUGCAUGGGCAUCCUAUGGGGGAACCCCUUACAUGUGGAAUACGGUUUUUCUCCCCAAUUUAUUUUUAUAAAUUUAUUGAUUUCUUUGCUAGUUUGUUAUUAAUUGUUAGAGAUGUCCUGUUGCCUGAGGUUGCCCUGUCCGAUAUGGUAGCCACCAGCGACAGGUAGCUAUUUAGAGUAAUUUAAAAAUUACAUUAAAAAUGCAGUUUCCUUGUCACUUAACCAUGUUUCAAGUGCUCAGUAUUAACCACAUGUGACUAGUGGCUUCCAUAAAGGAAGGCAAAAAUAGAGAACAUUUACAUCGCUGCAGAAAGCUACUAGAUUUUUUUGGCCAAGGCAUAAGCUCUUUCUCAUAAGAGAAAGGGGAUGCAGAUCUUGCUAAGAGUGAUGGAUUUCUGGGUUCAGCCUACAUGAGUCAUCUUCCAUACUACCCCUGGACAUGCUUUCCUUGGCUGCCAAUUUUCUAUUUUAUAAAUUUCAGGAAAGAGAGAUUAUGGUUGUUAAAACCAUUCAUGACAAUGAUCCCACUUUAGAGAAAACAACAGCAACAAGCAAAGAAGAUGGUGUGGAGAUCCGCACAUUCCACAUCUUUUAAUUGGUACCCAUUAAAUAACAAAGGGAAAAAGUACCCUCAGACCACAACUCUCCACCUUGUGUGGAGGCCAAGGACCCAGCAGGGAGAAGGCAGAAGAUUAGGUUCUCCACUCAUCCUGGCUCUCAGACCACUGAACUCACAUUUGGGUUCUAAUGGAAUGGUGAUUGGAAGCAUAUUCUCCAAUAGGAGGUUUUUAAAAGUUCUGUGCCAUCAGCCAGGCAGCAUCUGUCAUUUAAAAUGACUGGCCAGUUGCACGUUUAAAAGCAAAGAUAAAAUUGCUAAUUUAUACUUACUGAAUAAACAUCAGCAGUAUCCAUGAAGGUACCUACCCUAAUAGCAAGUUGUAUUUUUAUUUUUAUGGUGGUGGCGAAGCUGCCAGGAAAACCAAAGCAUCAGUUCUUUAAUUACAUUUGUUUAGUAUUGAUUUAAUACUAAAAUUUCUCUUGCUCCCUUAGAACAAAGAGCUCUAACUUGUACACUGCUGUAUCCUUAGCACCUGGAACAGUCCCUGGCCUACAAUAGGCACUUAGAAAGUAUUUGUUAAAAAUUGAUUUUUUUUUUUUAAAGAAACAACCCAGAGUUUUUUUAUUCUGCCCCAACCCCCAACCCCUGGCAUUAAAAUAAAUCUUCCUCAACUGCCAUCACUAAUCGCCAGGAUUCCCUCCUAGCCAAUUAUGCUUGGACUCAACCUCUACCUCCCACUCCACAUUCCAAAGUUUCUAUUUCUUUCCAUUCCAGAAGGGCAACUCCACAACAGGAGUGAGGGAGAGGACCUGGACUCCUCCUCAGAGUCCAAUAACACUCCUAACCCUGCUCCCCCAACCUGUGGACUUUUUAAAUCCAUGAAAAUAGAACCUGUCAAGCUACCACAAAAUAGCAUCAGAAGGCAGGAUCAGUCUUUCAUAGGCAUACAAUCUCUGUAAAUACUGAAAAAAGAUUAUUAAAAGCCUGCUAAGUUUUGUCUCCAGUGAAAUAGAUGCAGGCAAGUAUUUUGAUUGUUCUGAACACAUUAGAGAUGAGUGCUACACAGAACUAAGGUAAACUUUGUAAAUUCGUAUGUCAUAACACUUUGUUCCACAAAAAACUAUCUUAUUUUUUAUACUCCAUACUGAUACAGCCAAAUAAUGUGGCUCUUAUUUUCUAAAGAUGCCAGCAAUAUGUUUAAACAUGUCUUCAUUGUAGUAAAAGUAUCAUAUUUAUAAAAAAUACAUAUGCAUUUAAUGUGAUAUUCCUUAUAGUCAAAAUCUUGAUAUCAUCCUGUUAAUCUGGCUAAAAAUGUAUCUGUAAAAUGAAAGAGAGGAAUAUUUUGCCAUUCCCUAAACAACAGUUGUUUGAAGCUUUUGUAAUUGCUGGUUAUGGGAAUUUACCAAUAACAGGAAUGAAUUUGGAUUUUCUUUUGCUGGAAUCAAAUGGACAAUGUCAUAAUUAGCUAAAUAAUGUUGAGGCUAAAUGAAGUUUGAGUUUUAGGCACAUCCUUUAUGGAAUAUAAACAGGAACCUAAAAGUUCAUUCUGAACAUAGGUUGUUUCUUUCUGCCAAAACAAGAUUAAUAGUCAGUACCCUAACGACAAGGUCCUAUCACUGAAGUAGAUUAUCGGCUAGUCAAAUGGGUUCCUAACAGCACCUCCCUCAUGGGUUAAAACAAGAGGGUUAAUGUGAUGUGUAUUUGCUUAAUUUGGCUUGUUAUACAGUAAACACACAGCAAACGUUAGCUAUUGUUAUCUUCAUUUCCUUUGGAGAAGUUAUCUUAUUUCUCACCUUAUUAAAAAUAAACCCUAACUCAUACAGGGACCCUCCUUACCUUGGUCCUUUCACCCAUGAAUACCAUAAUAACCUAUACUGCAAAAAGGAGGCUCAGGAGGAGGAUGAGGUAUCAAUAGGCCUCCGGGUCAUUUUUAUGAUUUAGGUAUUUUUUGAAAAGGGUAGGCUCUCUUGAAACUUCCAAGGUAGUUGUUGUAGUAUUUUAUUUUCCUUUCAUAAGAAAUGCUUUCUGAAAUGUAUUGCAGUGAACAAAUAACAAAAUUGACAAAUGCUGUAAGCCUUUUACAGUUAUCUGAACACACAGAAUAAAGUGUAAUCAAAUUUGUGCACAUUAGGUUUGCUUUUUCCUGUACCUAGCUGUCUCUUAUGUGUUCAGAACCAUUUCUUCCAAUCACCUUUUUUUGUCUUCUGGCUAUAAUUUAUCAUUAUCUACAAAUUCAAUAAAUGGAGCAUGC